UUGGAGGGCAAGUCUGGUGCCAGCAGCCGCGGUAAUUCCAGCUCCAAUAGCGUAUAUUAAAGUUGUUGCAGUUAAAAAGCUCGUAGUUGAAUUUCGGGGUUAGUAGGUUGGUCAUGCCUCUGGUAUGUACUGGUCUCACUGAUUCCUCCUUCCUUAUGAACCGUAAUGCCAUUGAUUUGGUGUUGCGGGGAAUUUGGACUGUUACUUUGAAAAAAUUGAGUGUUUAAAGCAAGCUAACGCUUGAAUACAUUAGCAUGGAAUAAUGAAAUAGG
This 272-nucleotide ribosomal RNA is filed under the name uncultured Glomus. RNAcentral describes it as "partial 18S ribosomal RNA". It matches the Rfam family "Eukaryotic small subunit ribosomal RNA", at positions 548 to 826 of the family's 1831-position model. The record is from RNAcentral. Lineage: Eukaryota; Fungi; Glomeromycota; Glomeromycetes; Glomerales; Glomeraceae.